Molecule: ribosomal RNA, 400 nt
Filed under: phytoplankton environmental sample
Lineage: Eukaryota
Description: partial small subunit ribosomal RNA
Rfam family: Eukaryotic small subunit ribosomal RNA
Source: RNAcentral
AGCUCCAGUAGCGUAUAUUAAAGUUGCUGCAGUUAAAAAGCUCGUAGUUGGAUUUCUGGAUUGGUGCGCUUGGCCCGCCGGGGUUACCUGUGUGAGUGCCGGUGGCACCUUCCAUCCUUCUAGAAAACAUUUCUACCCUUAACUGGGACGGAUCUUGUGAUCUAGAUCAUUUACUUUGAAAAAAUUAGAGUGUUUAAAGCAGGCUUGUGCUAUGAAUACAUUAGCAUGGAAUAAUAAUUUAGGACUUCGGUUCUAUUUUGUUGGUUUCUAGGACUGAAGUAAUGAUUGAUAGGGAUAGUUGGGGGUGCUAGUAUUCAGCGGCCAGAGGUGAAAUUCUUGGAUUCGCUGAAGACUAACUACUGCAAAAGCAUUCACCAAGGAUGUCUUCUUUAAUCAAGAA